This 1082-nucleotide long non-coding RNA is filed under the name Zonotrichia albicollis (white-throated sparrow). Its description in RNAcentral is "lncRNA (ENSZALG00000016142.1)". Lineage: Eukaryota; Metazoa; Chordata; Aves; Passeriformes; Passerellidae. The record is from RNAcentral.
GAAAAUGAAAUUUCCUAUGCCCCGAGAUUUCAGGAUUUUACACGUCUCUGUGAAUCGUUUAGGAUUAAAUAGGGAGUUCAGAGACUAUUUUUAAAAUGUGCAUGGCCUUCUGAAGGAGCUGAAGUUUUGUUCAGCAGCUCUCUUCAAGGGGACUCAAGAUCGUCCCGAGUUUCUUUACUGAACACGGUGAGUUCCUCAGAGACAGCAUUGCAGUAUCACCAGAAGACUACCAUUCUUAAGAGCUGUAUUCCCUCUUAGAAAGGCUGCUUUGGCAGACUGAGGCACAUGACUGAGACUUUUUGCCCUGAUUGCAAAGAUGUUGUGCUGCCAGUGCUGCUGGAGAGCAAACAAAUAUUUGGCCCCAUGUUGACUGUUUUUCUAAGUGCAAGAACUUUUACAAAGAAAAAAAGAAGACCCUGAAGAAUGUAAUGCUACUUUAUGGAGGACAAAUCUUCCAUUUCUAGCCUGACAUGAAACUCUUCAAGGUGAACAAAGAGGGAGACAUGUCUAGAAACGCACAAAGAAGCCGAGCUAAUUAAGAGAACUCCCACUGCCUCCCUUCAUGAAAGCUGCUAUGCUUUUGAAACCCUGGAGAUGGUUUGACUGUGGAUUUGUGAGGUUAGGAGUACAGCUGGGAUGCUGAGACUGUGGGCUGGGUGGUAUGUAUAGAAUGUGUUUGAUCAGUUUCCCUGGUUGUAUUAGAAAGAGAUGGCAUAAAACAAAUGGGGUGGAAAUAGGCAGAAAGGAUGAGGAGCUCCCUCUGGGAUAGGUCUGAACUGAUUUAGAUUGUGGGAAUUCUCUGUGUGUGUGUGUGUACUCAAUGUAUUUUUCCUGGAGAUUUCAGUGAUAAUAUUUUUUCUUCUAAUCUUUAUCAAUGUUACAGAAAAUGUAUUUGAGCCUUCAGCAACAUGAGGUUCAAACCUUGCAGUUCAUUCCUUCAGAUGUUUGCAUGGCAUGCUACAGCCCUGCUUUCUGUAUGCUGACAUGCAAAUAGCUUGUCAGUCUCGUCUUGCACCAUUACUAUGAUUCCUUCCUUGGUUCCUGUCUCUUCCAGGUAUUCAACACUGUAAAAAUACUUGUCU